RNAcentral lists this long non-coding RNA (438 nucleotides) under Amphimedon queenslandica. RNAcentral's name for it is "uncharacterized LOC109590146". The record is from RNAcentral. Lineage: Eukaryota; Metazoa; Porifera; Demospongiae; Haplosclerida; Niphatidae.
GCGUGAAGCGAGGGUACACACCCAAGAGUUACCAUGCAUGAUCCGUGAAUGAUGGGUAUCAGGCCUGGACCAGGUUUGAUUCUAUAACGGUCCAGCAUCGACGGCCAUCACUGCUGAAUCGAGGCUGUUGCUCUGGCCUGGACCAGUAUCUAUUUCAGUCCCGAUGUAGUCAUAGCUGAUACAGUAAUGUCUGUUCGUCAGUACUGGUCCAGGCUGUAUAUCAGUACUGGAUCAGAUCGAUGCUUUUCAAGAUGGCAGCCCCGCGUGGACUAUCUGACAUGUUUUGUUAAAGAAAAUCAUCUUAAUCUGACUCUUUAAGAGAAAUCUCGUUGGCUGUAUACACUAGGGCUAAAUCACUGGAUGUUAUGCUAUUUUGAACCAUUUAUUACUUAAACAUGAGUAGGAUACACGAUAUUUUGAGUAAAAAAUACAUGACUG